Unclassified non-coding RNA from Vulpes vulpes (red fox), 356 nucleotides. The record is from Ensembl. Lineage: Eukaryota; Metazoa; Chordata; Mammalia; Carnivora; Canidae.
UUUUGGGGCGGUGUUUACAGACUCUUCUUCUCUGCCUCCACCCUGCUCUCUUGGCCCGGGCUUCGAGCCUCUUCUGUUUUCCAGCCAGACCCAGAAAAACGAAAACACAGCUCGGGGAGCCCCCACCAGCCGGCGCCUGUGCCAGCUCACCUCUGGCCAUGGCGCAGCUGCUGGUGCACACAGCGGCCAAGGCCAGCUCCACAUUCCUCCCUCCCUCUCCCCCACUUCACCGGAGACGGAGCCCUGCAUGCAGAGGAAGGGCCCCAGCUCCACGGACUGCCAAAGUCGACUGGGUCCCUCCUCACCAAAAAUGGUGAGACAAGAUUUCAUCUUGUCUGCAGAGAAGCCACAAGCAG